Molecule: ribosomal RNA, 253 nt
Filed under: uncultured archaeon
Lineage: Archaea
Description: partial 16S ribosomal RNA
Rfam family: Archaeal small subunit ribosomal RNA
Source: RNAcentral
AACCAGCACCUCAAGUUGUCAGGAGGAUUAUUGGGCCUAAAGCAUCCGUAGCCGGCUCUGUUAGUUUUCGGUUAAAUCCAUAUGCUCAACAUAUGGGCUGUCGGAAAUACUACAGAGCUAGGGAAUGGGAGAGGUAGACGGUACUCGGUAGGAAGGGGUAAAAUCCUUUGAUCUAUUGAUGACCACCUGUGGCGAAGGCAGCUUUCUGGACCAAUACUGACGCUGAGGUACGAAAGCGUGGGUAGCAAACAGG